This 2530-nucleotide long non-coding RNA is filed under the name Ornithorhynchus anatinus (platypus). RNAcentral's name for it is "lncRNA (ENSOANG00000040191.1)". Lineage: Eukaryota; Metazoa; Chordata; Mammalia; Monotremata; Ornithorhynchidae. The record is from RNAcentral.
GACAGACAUUAAUAGAAAUAUAUCUAUUUAUUUAUGUGCCAAGAACUGUACUGAGCAUUUGGGAGAGUACAAUAGAACAGAAUUAGCAGAUACUUUCCCUGCCCACAGCGAGCUUACAGUCUAGGGUCAAUAAGGUAAGCUCAUUGUCCGGGUUUCCGGGAUUAGAACCCAGGUCCUCUGACUCUCGGGCCCAUGCUCUUUCCCCGAGGCCACACCGCUUCCUAACGGGCACGCUUCAACCUUCAGAACGCCGACUUCCCGGGCCCGUGAGAGAUCGGAAUUCGGCCCUCUGACCCUGUUCUCUGCCGACCCCUGGCCCACGUCCCGCCUCUGGCCUGGAACGCGCUCCCUCUUCACAUCCGACAGACAGUGACUCUCCCCCGUUUCAAAGCUUUAUCGAAGGCCCAUCUCCUCCAAGAGGCCUUCCCUGACUAAGCCUCCUUUCCUCUUCUCCCACCCCCUUCGGUGUCCCCCUGACUCCUUUUAUUCAUCCCCUCUCCCAGCCCCAUAGCACUUAUGUCCGUAUCUGUCAUUUAUCUCUAUUUCUGUCUGUCUCCCCCUCUAGACUCUAAGCUUAUUGUGGGCAGGAAAAUUGUUUAGUAUUCUAUUGUACUCUCCCAAGUGCUUAGUACAGUGCUCUGGGAAGUGCUCAGUAGAUACAACCGACUGACCGAUUGAAAGGUUGAGUUGAGAAAACCAAUGAUCCAGGCAGGUGAAUGAUGCUUCCAGCUUCAGAUCUAGGCAGACGGCGAUAAUGGAACCGCCAGACGAUGCCAUCCUGUGCCAAGAUCCCGUUGCCAAAGAACCGGUCGAAGACACAGACCCAAGCACUUUAUCUUUUCAAAUGGUACGUCCUCAUUUUCGAUGGGACAGAAACUUAUCACCGACUCUGAUUUUCAUCUAGGUAAAGUGGAUCAGAAAACCCGUAGAUGAUACGUUUGUGAUAGAGGUGGCUUCUUAGUACGCUAUAUUCCAUGACACACCACCAAUGUGCCUCUGUGUUUAUUUUAGAUAAGAACCUAACAUUCAUUCUUCUUGCUCAUCCUUUGUGUACAGUGGAAGUCAUUGUUUUUAGAGGUUGUGGUGGAAGAAUUUUUUUUAUUAUGGUCUGUGGGCUACACUGAGUCAAUAGCCUAUGGAGAGAUAACCUCAUUAUACCUGAGAAAAAUGAUAACCAAAGAAAAUAACCAAACCCUUAACUUUGAGAGUACAUAAUAGUCAGUUAUCGCAGUCGGGUUCUUGAAGAAACCCUGGUUAAGGGGAAAUGAGGCACGGCUUGAUCGACCCCAAAAGGUUGUGGGCAGGGGAGGUGGCUGCCGAUUCUCUAAAACUGUACUCUCCCAAGUGCUUAGUAAAGUGCCCUGCACACAAUAAGCACCCAGUAAAUAUGAUCGAUUGAUCCUUCCUUCAUUCGACUGUGUUCUAAUCAGACAGAUGGGUCCUGUGGGAAAAGCUCGUCCCAGAUCUUCAAAGCAGAUCACCCUCUGGAAAGCCACUUUUUUGUUUGUUUUGCAUGAUAUUUGUUCAGCACUUACUAUGUGCCCGGUCCCGUACUGAGCUCUGGGGUAGAUAAAAGAAAGCCAGAUCGGACCCAGUCCCCAUCCCACAUGGGGCUCACAGUCUUAAUCGUCAUUUUACAGAUGAGGUCACCGAAGCCCAGAGAAGUUAAGUGACAAGCCCAAGGUCACACAGCAGACAAGUGGCAGAGCUGGGAUCAGAACCCAGGCCAGGGCUCUUUCCACUAGGCCACGCUGCUUCUCACGUGAGGGCAGAAUUAUCGCCAAGGAUCAAAAAGGGCAAAAAAGAGACUAAAAUUUCCCCUCUGGGUGGGAUAGGUCCAUUGGAUAGGUGAUCAAAAGCAAGAUAAAAUAUAGAAGUAGUGAGCUACAGUCAACAGCUGACUGAAGUCAAACUGACAAGUGUUUUGAGGAACGGGUUUCUUUUAAUCAGCCUUUUAUAAUAUCUCUUUUAUUAUUUAUAAUCAUUUGUCACUGGAGGCAUUUGCUCGUUCUUGUUUUGUUUAGGGAUUUUAGAUUGUGAGCCCGUUUGGGACACAGACAGGGGCUGAUUUGUGUCUAAUUCCCACCUGAGUAUUUUCUCUCAGCGCUUAGUUCAGUGCCCUGCCCAGAGUGACUGCUUAAUGAAUAUGAUUACUACUAAUACUAGGGGUUUUAUUGUCACACUAAAUUCAAUUUUUUUCCCCUACGUGUCUCGUUUCCUUCCCUCUCUUUCCUUUCUGAGUCAGAGGUAACCUUAAAAAAGGAGGGAUAAGCGAGCCUACCACUUGAUAUUAAUAGCAGAGAGGCUUAUCAGUAAAAUUGUGUGUGAGAACAAGCGUCCGUCUGUGAGGUGUGAACUGGCAAAGGACAGGAAAUAAAAAGGGGAGAAGAGCUCAGAGGCAGGAGGUGGGGUUCAGUGGUCAGGAAGGGCCACGGGGGCGUUUAUUUCUCCCUCUGACGCUGGUCCUUCGCUGUUUUGGACCAGGUCCCCGAAGCUGAGCGUGCCAGAGUUUUGCGAUCUGUAAAAUGGG